Molecule: non-coding RNA, 787 nt
Organism: Kogia breviceps (pygmy sperm whale)
Lineage: Eukaryota; Metazoa; Chordata; Mammalia; Artiodactyla; Physeteridae
Source: RefSeq, a predicted model, not a curated record
AUGGAAAAAAUAAUGGUUGAGAAAUCUUGCCAUAACCCAUUUGGAGAGCAAAGUGAAAAGCAAAAACAGAAGUAGAAAUUAACAUUCAGAAAAUGGAGACGAAUGUGUUCCCAUUUAAGACCCAGGCCUGAAGGAAGGCCUUCAGAGAACCUAGAGAGCAGGGUUCUCAGAGUCCCCACCUCAGCCACGCCGGCAGCACCUGCAGGGUCCCCGAUGGCCCCAACCGUGUCCUUACUCUUGGCCCUGGUGCUGCUCAGCUGCAACUCCACGUGCUCUCUGGGCUGCGACCUGCCUCAGACCCACAGCCUGGCUAACACGAGGGCCCUGAGGCUACUGCAACAAAUGAGGAGAAUCUCCCCCUUCUCCUGCCUCAAGGACAGAAAUGACUUUGGAUUCCCCCAGGAGGCAUUUGGUGGCAACCAGUUCCAGAAGGCUCAAGCCAUCGCUGUCGUCCAUGAGAUGAUCCAGCAGACCUUCCAGCUCUUCAGCGCCGAGGGCUCGGCUGCCGCUUGGGAUGAGACCCUCCUGGACAAGUUCUGCACUGCACUUUUUCAGCAGCUCACUGACCUGCAAGCCUGUCUGAUGCAGGAGGCGGGGCUGGAAGGGACUCCCCUGCUGAAGGAGGACUCCAUCCUGGCUGUGAGGAAAUACUUCCACAGAAUCACUGUCUAUCUGCAAGAGAAGAAAUAUAGCCCUUGUGCCUGGGAGAUUGUCAGAGCAGAAGUCAUGAGAUCCUUUUCUUCAUCAACAAACUUGCAAGAAAGACUCAGGAGGAAGGAGUGACACG